AGAGUUUGAUCCUGGCUCAGGACGAACGCUGGCGGCGUGCCUAACACAUGCAAGUCGAGCGAUGAAAUCCUUCGGGAUGGAUUAGCGGCGGACGGGUGAGUAACACGUGGGUAACCUGCCUCAAAGAGGGGAAUAGCCUUCCGAAAGGAAGAUUAAUACCGCAUAAUAUGUUUUGGUCGCAUGACUAGAACAUCAAAGGAGCAAUCCGCUUUGAGAUGGACCCGCGGCGCAUUAGCUAGUUGGUGAGGUAACGGCUCACCAAGGCGACGAUGCGUAGCCGACCUGAGAGGGUGAUCGGCCACAUUGGAACUGAGACACGGUCCAGACCCCUACGGGAGGCAGCAGUGGGGAAUAUUGCGCAAUGGGGGAAACCCUGACGCAGCAACGCCGCGUGAAUGAUGAAGGCCUUCGGGUUGUAAAGUUCUGUCUUCUGGGACGAUAAUGACGACCAGAGAGA
RNAcentral lists this ribosomal RNA (457 nucleotides) under uncultured Clostridium sp. Its description in RNAcentral is "bacterial SSU rRNA". It matches the Rfam family "Bacterial small subunit ribosomal RNA", at positions 8 to 466 of the family's 1533-position model. The record is from RNAcentral. Lineage: Bacteria; Bacillati; Bacillota; Clostridia; Eubacteriales; Clostridiaceae.